This is a long non-coding RNA of Gadus macrocephalus (Pacific cod), 994 nucleotides long. RefSeq lists it as uncharacterized. The transcript has 6 exons. Lineage: Eukaryota; Metazoa; Chordata; Actinopteri; Gadiformes; Gadidae. The record is from RefSeq and is a predicted model, not a curated record.
UGCUGGAGCCAGCCAGUCUGGUGGUAGAUGUGGCUGUCGAGGGCAACGAGGAAUUCCAUGAACAGCACCAACUCUACGAUAAAGAGAAUACCACACCAGAGGGGAGCAUCUCAGACAAACAGAGUGUGUAUAACUGGCGUAUAGAUCUCUCCAAGGCUGAGAAGUACUGGGAUGGCUGGUUCAGAGGGACCUCCAACCUCUUCCUGAGCUGCAACCUGCCCAAACUGCUGUUACUGGCUGGGGUGGAUCGUCUUGACAGAGAUUUGACCAUCGCACAAAUGCAAGGUAAAUUCAUGAUGCAGCUGCUGCCCCCUUGUGGCCAUGCAGUGCAAGAAGACCACCCCGACAAGGCAAGAGACAUGUGACACCCUGUGUGUAUUUUUGUAAAAACAAUAAAACAUGCAUUUGUUCAUUUGCAUGUAUGUGCAUUUGAAUUAUAUUUUAUAUUUCGUGCCUGUAUCUGGAUGUAUUUAUAUAUUUAAUUGCUUGUGUAUUUCAUUAAAAGUCAUAUUUGUGUGUGUGUGUGUGUGUGUGUGUGUGUGUGUGUGUGUGUGUGUGUGUGUGUGUGUGUGUGUGUGUGUGUGUGUGUGUGUGUGUGUGUGUGUGUGUGUGUGUGUGUGUGUGUGUGUGUGUGUGUGUGUGUGUGUGUGUGUGUGUGUGAGUAGGUUGCUGAUGCUAUAACCAGUUUUCUUUUGAGACAUAAGUUUGCAGAGUCCAGAGAAGAUAACCAGAGCUCUCCAUUGCCCUUUACACAGUGAAGACUGAAAUACUAUCCUCUAGACCAGAGGGCUGCCCUCAAGUGCUUCUCAACUAUACUUAACCUAGAAGACGUUUCCCUAGAAGAAGAGCAGAAGUUUGUGGUUCCAUUUUAUUCAUUUCGUGGAAAUCAACGUCACUGGGCUGAAAUGUUCUACGUUCAAGACAAUCUGUGUCCCUGUAUUAAGAUGUGGCUUUGAAUCGCUUUGAUUAAACCAGUCUCACCUCUUUGAUUAAA